AUUUAAUUUUAUUGCUUCUAAAGUGAAAUUGAUGAAUUAUUUAAUUUAUUGUGAAGGUGAUAUUAUUUUAUAUUAUGAUAUCUACAAAGAAAAUAAAUAAAAGAUGUAACGUGAGAGUUAUUUUGUGGAUUAUUCAUAUUAAACUUUUAGUCUCCUUAUCAGUUAAGGACAAGGAUAAGAGACUAAAACCUAAUUGGAUUAGGAGUUUAAGUGUUAUUGGAAUUCUUUAGAGUUCUGGCCCAUCUAAACAACCUUAAUAUGAGUUUAGUGGGAAUUGAAGUCUUGGGAGGCUUAUUUAAGCUUUUAGUGGGUUUUUUAUUUGAGCCCAAGUGAAAAUAAUUUUAACGUGUUAGUAGGUUAGGGUUUCCUGCUGAAAGAUAGAGAGAGAGAGAGAGAGACGGCAAAGUUACAAGAAACAAAUCCUGCAUCCGUAUGGUCGUGUGGUCAGGUUCUAAUUGAUAUUGUUUCAGACCGUUGAGGUAAAGCUUGGUUUAACAACUAGAGAUUAGAGCAGUGGAAUAUCUUUUGGUGGUAGAUCAUUGGAGACAUAGACUGAAGACUUCUUUUGGAGCUAUGUUAGUUGAGGG
Long non-coding RNA from Quercus robur (English oak), 587 nucleotides. RefSeq lists it as uncharacterized. The transcript is spliced from 3 exons. The record is from RefSeq and is a predicted model, not a curated record. NCBI's taxonomy places the organism in Eukaryota, Viridiplantae, Streptophyta, Magnoliopsida, Fagales, Fagaceae.